Non-coding RNA from Nicotiana tabacum (common tobacco), 1218 nucleotides. The record is from RefSeq and is a predicted model, not a curated record. Lineage: Eukaryota; Viridiplantae; Streptophyta; Magnoliopsida; Solanales; Solanaceae.
UCCCAUGUCCCAUGUAUGGGUCUGGCCCAAAAGUGAAUUAGCCAUUUCCAGGUUCCUCCGCCGGACUUCAUUGCUGCAUACGACGCCGACGUGACCCCAUCCCGUGACUUUCGGAAAAUGACUAGAGAAGAAGUUGAUAAUGGGAGAGACGACAUGUUAAUAGACGGAGAUAAAACUGAACAAAGGAGGCUAAAAACGCCGUUCCAGAUCGAUGGAAUCAAUUCAAUGCCAAUUAUCUAAAAGCUUAUUACGUGUGCUAAUUGUGGGUUGGAAAGCAUCCAGGUUGUGUUCACUUGGGAUUUUUCUUUCACAUUGGAUAAUUAUCUUUACUUGCGAUUUCAAUCAUUUUAUACUGCAUCCAAGCUGGAAAAUGCUAUCAAGGAGGAGUGUUGGACGUUGGGCCUGUCUGCAGCUUAGAUGAUAUGUCAGAUUAUGAUGAUGUUAGAUAUUGCUGUUCAGGAGCUAAUGUUUGUUCAGAGUGCUGAUGGCAAUUGCUAUCAAGGUCAUUGAUACUUCUCUCAGAGAUGACUUUGGGUUCAGCCAAAUCCUGUGGGUAUCCAGUGUUAGGCAUGGUGUUCAUUGUUGGGUUUGUGUCGAGAAGGUCGAACAAUGAACAGAGGUCCGCAAUUGUUGUCUAAAAGAUACUUAGAGAUGCUUUACAUGCCUGCUAGCGGAAAUUAUGAUAGCUUGAGGUUCUAACAGAAAAAAAUAUAGUAUGUUUGGAGAAUAGCAGUCAAGAAGGUUUCUCUAAUGGGUCUCCCGCUUCAUCCGUUCCUUGCGUAAAGUUUUAUCCAUCAAUUUCCUCUUCUUUAGGUUUAGGUUGUACUCUUAGUCGUAUUCUACUUUUGCAGGAAGUCGUAUACUAAAGUCUUGAAUGAUUACUUUGAGAACAAACUGUUAUCAAGUAAAGUUUGUUCUUGAAUGAGGAGAGAUUUUGAGAAGAUACUGGAAAUGAUAUCUGAUGAUUGUAUGCAAGUUUAUCUUUCAUUAUUUAUUCUAAUUCUUGUAAAUCUCAUUGAGUUUUUAGUGAAGUUGAGGUGAUUUUGCAGCUCUUACUUCUGAGCUUGGGGAAAGGUGGCUGUCUAACAAGUGUUCAAAAGAAGAGAUUAAUGUUGCUUGCUGGGAACAACUAAAACACCUAUUGCGAUCCAGUUAACAGAAUGUAGCAAUCUUAUACUAACUUGUACUUGGGGAAAUAAAAGUUUUCAAAUUGCAUGA